GAUGAAGAACGCAGCGAAAUGCGAUACGUAAUGUGAAUUGCAAAUUCAGUGAAUCAUCGAGUCCUUGAACGCACAUUGCGCCCCCUGGUAUUCCGGGGGGCAUGCCUGUCCGAGCGUCAUUGCUGCCCUCAAGCACGGCUUGUGUGUUGGGCCCCGUCCUCCGAUCCCGGGGGACGGGCCCGAAAGGCAGCGGCGGCACCGCGUCCGGUCCUCGAGCGUAUGGGGCUUUGUCACCCGCUCUGUAGGCCCGGCCGGCGCUUGCCGAUCAACCCAAAUUUUUAUCCAGGUUGACCUCGGAUCAGGUAGGGAUACCCGCUGAACUUAAGCAUAUCAAUAAGCGGAGGA
This 345-nucleotide unclassified non-coding RNA is filed under the name soil metagenome. Its description in RNAcentral is "partial contains 5.8S ribosomal RNA, internal transcribed spacer 2, and large subunit ribosomal RNA". The stretch from base 1 to 119 matches the Rfam family "5.8S ribosomal RNA", at positions 35 to 154 of the family's 154-position model. The record is from RNAcentral.